Molecule: long non-coding RNA, 2331 nt
Organism: Spinacia oleracea (spinach)
Lineage: Eukaryota; Viridiplantae; Streptophyta; Magnoliopsida; Caryophyllales; Amaranthaceae
Exons: 3
Source: RefSeq, a predicted model, not a curated record
AACAAGAGAAGAUCUAAAAUCAUUCUCUCCUCCCAACUUCAACUUUAACUUUCACCUUCAACGGUUCAACCUUCACAUUUGAAAAGUCGAUAAAACUAAAUUGCAUGAAUUGAUCCAUUCAAGUAUCCAAAUAGAUUAUCAAUCUCCAAGCUUUUAAAUUCAAAAAAAAAAAAAAAAACAGCAUCAUCAUCAUCAACUACGGAGUUCGUCGGCAUCACCAUCAACUACUUUUUUAUGGGUUCGAGAUUCCGAUUUGUGAACAAAUUCAACCAAAUUCAGAUUCACGAAUUCAUCCCAACAAUCGCAAUCCAAAAAUUGAUGAUGUGGGUGAAAAUUUAACAUCAAAGUUCUAUGUGAUCAGAUUUGUGAAUCAUAAGUUUCUUGAGCAUGGAUAAUGUCUCAAAUGAAGGUAAAAGUUCAAGAACAAGAAAAUUAGCGCUCGAAACAAUACAAUUACCUGAUGGUCUAGCGGAGCCGAUUCUGGAGGAUGUGGAAGCUCAAACGGUGUAACGAACCACUUUUCAGCCUAAUGUUAACAGAAAUUAAGUGUUGUAACGUUGAUCAAAGUGGACUUCCUACCAUUUUCAAUUCUAUUUAGGUAAGAAUAUUAAUCCUCCUUCGUUGUUUUGGUUGUUUGAAAAUUUAUUAUUGAAUAAGUUCAAUAAUUUGUCAGUAAAGGAAGUUCAGUAAAUUUGAUUUUGAUAUAUCCUAGAACUGUAGAAUUAAUGAAAAGAUCGUUACAAUAAUUUGUUGCAACGCAUUUUUUAAUCAAACCAUGGUUAGUGUAGUGAUGAAUUAAAAACCUCUUUGCCAGAGAACCUAACCAUUUAGAUAAAAGAUCUGGUACUUAAACAAUAGAGUCAUAAUUCACAAGGUGAGCUUGGGAUGAAUGGAUGAUGGAGACAUGUUCGAUUGAAAGAGUCAGAGAGAUCUUUCUUUCAAGUCUGUAAGCCAGUUUUAGCAUAUAGGAAAACUUAAAAUAUGUAUCAGUAUUAACAAGUUAUGUUUGUUUGUGAUGUGUGGCUUUAAAAUGCUAUUUUACUAAUCCUGUAGAAUCAUUGCCUCAUUGGGUUGAGGAAUUUAGGAUCAGUGCAAAAAGUAAAUGAUAACUGCUGCAAUUAUCAGUUUUUUCACACAUUUCUGAUAACUUUAUAUUUAAGGAGGUAACUUUUCUAUAUACAGAUCUUUCAUACUCCAUUAGGGAAGAGUUAUGCUUCAGGGCAGUUGUAGCCUUACAAUUGGUAUAGAAAACAACAACCUUGAUUUCAUCUUGGUAAUCCAGAUGUUUAACUCUGCAUUUCUGGUAAAUUUCUUUUAUAAAGUAAAGAAUUAACAGCCCUCUCAUAUCAUUGAAACUAAUGUGCAUCUUUGGAGAUCUUUAAAUAUAUCUUAUCUAUAUCUAUAUAGUAUUUAAUAACAGGGAAUUUAAAGAAAAGUUAGAGUGUCACGUGUCCUCUAUUUAUUUUUCGUUUAUUAAAAAGUAUGGAUUUUCCCCCCUCUUUUACUCCUCACAUGAGUCCCGUCGUUUCAAUUAACCACCUUCUAAUAACAAAAAAAUCAAUUAACCAUGCUCCAUGGGAAGUUAGGCACAUUUUCAGCCAUUUCUUUCUCUCGAUCUCCUUCCAAAUCAUGAAUUGGGCGAAUUUUCUAUGUCAUCAUCAAUUUCUCUAUUUCCUUUUCCAGGGGUCAGAUUUUCGGUUUGUUGUAGACGAAUUUGUGUUUGAUCUGUUAAUCUUUGAUAUGGUUUUUUUUAUUGUUCAAUUGCAGCAAUUGAAUUUACUUCACUAUUAUAUUGUGACUUUAUGUUUGUGUCUGACAAAUUAAACCAGGUAGAUCUACUGGUGCCUAAUUUUUCUUUUUCUUUCUUUUCUAUUCACUGAUAUUAAUUCCAAUUUUCUGUGUGUUUUAGGGUUAAUGAAAAUUGUAGAAUUGUGCAAUUGGAAUAUGAUUUCUCUAAGGUCAGAAAUGAUUUGUUCUGUUCAGUUCAAUACUCUAUUCAUCAAUUUUGACCGCAUUAUCUAUGGAGUAUUAUUUAGCCUUUUAAGUUAGAGCGAUAAAUUGUAAGGAGUACAAAUUAGUAAUAUAUUACAAUAAUAUACGGAGUAGUUAGUAAAUUUGUGUGAUGAAAUUGACGGUAAUGUUAGUCAAUUUUUUAUUUUAUUUUUUUGGUAUGGGCACUGAAAUCAUUAGUUUUGUUGUUUGUGAUUUUCCUUUUUUCUCUCAUUUUAGUCUCUGAUCAUUCCAUUAGAAUUAGUUUUGUUUUCGUUAACAAGAACUGGGUUUGCACUUGGAUGACAACAUCUUUCAUGAAGUAAAAACGUUGUUUAAUUU